ACCAGUCAUUGGAUUAGGGCUCACCGAAAUCCAGUCUGACCUAAUUUUAAGUUUCUUGCAUCUGUGAAAACCCCAUUUGCAAACAAGAGCUCAUUCACAAGUUCUAAGAAGAUGUGGAUUUGUUGGGUGUGUGUGUGUGUGUGUGUGUGUGUGUCACCAUUCAACCUGGUACAUUAGUGAGACUCAGACAUUGCUGAUGCAUAUCAGAAGUACUUAGAGGAAGGAAAUGAAAAUGUUCACAGCUGAAGUCUGCGGACCCUACGUGCCUCACCUGCGUAAUGUCACAUCCCCCGCGACAGCUGUGGUAGUGUACAUGGUCUCUGUUGUUCCCAUGAUACAGGCAAGGAAACGGGGGUACAGCCAGGACCUGAACCCAGGCACUUUAACUCCAGAGACCCCCUUUAAGACUAGGCUGGCCUGGCUGCCUUUUCCCAGUGACUUAUAAUUCAUCAGAAUAAGAACCAAUCCUCUGUAGCUACCUACUUCAGGAAGUACGUCUCCCACCAACAUUCUUUGUCCUUGUAUUUUCUCUGUACGUGGCUUUCCAAGUACUUGCAGCUCCACACUGACCGCCAGAUGUCUGGGGUCAGACGCCCCCUGCCUGGGCCUUUGGGGCUGGUGGAUCAUAGCCCUCCUUUUCCAGUAACUCCUGGACUGGCUUUUCUUUCCCCAGGCCCACAGCACCCAAUUCGGGGAGUUCUCUGAAGUGGAGGACCAGGAUGACUAUUACAGCAUGGCUGCUGGCUGCAUCCACAGCCAGGACCAGCACGGGGUGUACGUCAUGUAUGAUGAAGCCCUGAGUGACCUGCAGGGGCUGGAGGCUGAGCUGCUGCUUGUGGCCAGCCAUUACAUCCAGAAAGAAAAAGGUCACAAAGAGGGCAGUGAGGUGGAAAGUGGCCAGCACUGGGGAUGGGCCCACGCGAGUGUGGACAGGUUUGCAGUGCUGUAUCACCUGUGGACUUGGGAAGCCACUCUUCUGGAAAACAAGCGCCAGCUUCUUGAUAGCUACUUCGAAGCGUACCAGCACACGCUGGAUCCUCAAGAGAGGUUGGCCUUAGCUCAAGUGAUGACUGACAUCAUGCACCGGCGCCCCAGGUUCGAUCUCGGCCACGCCUAUUUCAUUAAGGCCUACCAAGAGGAGUGCACCUGCCUGAGGUUUCACCUGCAGCUAGUGAGGCGCAUCCUCCACCAGCAGGUAAGUGCAGCUGCGUCUUCAGCUACCCCGUGCGACUGAGGGGUGGGAAGCAUGGACCGGAAAUGAAAGGGUGCUUUCUUCCAGGCAGUGUGUGCAGCAUGUGUUUGUAGGCUCAUUUGCAUUGUUGAAUUCCAGGCAUAACUGUGACCUUAAAGGAAGGUUUCCAACCCUAAUUACAGUUAAUGGUCCACAGGGAAUUCGAUCACAGUGUUUUCCGGUGGUGGAAGAAGAACUAGCUAGUGAUAAAUCUUUCUCCAAGCCUGAUUGUGCAAGUGGCAUUUCUAUUUAAGCUUUUUGGGACUAUUUUUCGGACCUGGAAAGAAAUGAUCCCAUUCUCAGUCCUCCAGGGAAAUAGGCUACAGUGGGAAGCAAACAGGAGACGCAGGAUAUUAGAAUCUGGUGGGAAGUUUUUUUCCAGAGAGUGAAUGAUGUGACUGAAAGACGUUUUCUUUUGCUCUUGACAUUGGUUGCUGUUGCUUCCCUGGGCUGACCCUGGGCUCAGACUGAGAGUCCAGCAGGUCCAUUGCAAAUGACCUUCCAAGUAGUGUCUGGGUGAAAAUUCGUCAGAUGGUAAAGACGUGCGAAGGGAGAUACCCUUCUCAUGUCAAGGCUCAUAACUCACACCCCUGGGAGGGCUCAACCUUUUCUAAUUUUAAUGCUCAUGCUGCAUUUAUAGAUAGAGUGUCAGCGGGAAUAUGUCCAGAGGCUUUGGCGAGAAGAUCAUCUCGAUCUUGAUGAUAGGAAUAAAUUCGGCCUUCCCCUCA
Oryctolagus cuniculus (rabbit) is the source of this 1959-nucleotide long non-coding RNA. NCBI's taxonomy places the organism in Eukaryota, Metazoa, Chordata, Mammalia, Lagomorpha, Leporidae. The record is from Ensembl.